Molecule: ribosomal RNA, 484 nt
Filed under: uncultured bacterium
Lineage: Bacteria
Description: partial 16S ribosomal RNA
Rfam family: Bacterial small subunit ribosomal RNA
Source: RNAcentral
AUUGAACGCUGGCGGCAUGCUUUACACAUGCAAGUCGAACGGCAGCGCGGGCUUCGGCCUGGCGGCGAGUGGCGAACGGGUGAGUAAUACAUCGGAACGUGCCCAGUAGUGGGGGAUAGCUCGGCGAAAGCCGGAUUAAUACCGCAUACGACCUGAGGGUGAAAGCGGGGGAUCUUCGGACCUCGCGCUAUUGGAGCGGCCGAUGGCGGAUUAGCUAGUUGGUGGGGUAAAGGCCUACCAAGGCGACGAUCUGUAGCUGGUCUGAGAGGACGACCAGCCACACUGGGACUGAGACACGGCCCAGACUCAUACGGGAGGCAGCAGUGGGGAAUUUUGGACAAUGGGCGAAAGCCUGAUCCAGCAAUGCCGCGUGUGUGAUGAAGGCCUUCGGGUUGUAAAGCACUUUUGGCGGGAACGAAAAGGACUGUGCCAAUACCACGGUUCGAUGACGGUACCCGCAGAAUAAGCACCGGCUAACUACGUG